Molecule: ribosomal RNA, 101 nt
Filed under: Bacillus subtilis
Lineage: Bacteria; Bacillati; Bacillota; Bacilli; Caryophanales; Bacillaceae
Also listed under: 1 other name
Source: RNAcentral
GAAGAGGUCACACCCGUUCCCAUACCGAACACGGAAGUUAAGCUCUUCAGCGCCGAUGGUAGUCGGGGGUUUCCCCCUGUGAGAGUAGGACGCCGCCAAGC